GCUGGGCGUGGUGGCGCACACCUGUGAUUCCAGCAGCUCGGGAGGCUGAGGCAGGAGGAUAGCGAGUUCAAAGCCAGCCUUGGCAAUGGCAAGGUGCUAAGCAACUCAGUGAGACCCUGUCUCUA
RNAcentral lists this small RNA (125 nucleotides) under Marmota monax (woodchuck). Lineage: Eukaryota; Metazoa; Chordata; Mammalia; Rodentia; Sciuridae. The record is from RNAcentral.